UUUAGGGUUUAGGGUUUAGGAUUUAGAGUUUAGGGUUUAGGGUUUAGAGUUUAGGGUUUAGGGUUUAGGGUUUAGAGUUUAGGGUUUAUGGUUUAGAGUUGAGAAAUGAGGUUUUGGGGAGAAUAUUUCAAAUUUUGAAAAAUAAAAAAAUUAAAAUUUUCAAAAGAUAAAAUGCUAUUUUGGUCAUUUUAGUUUUUGAGUGCUAUUUUUGCGAUAUAAAUUUAGAAAUGUGCUAUUUUGGAGAUUUACCUUUCUACUUUCUGUGAAUUAUUACCACGUCCACAUGUCAUUCUGCGGUACCGUAAGCUGGGCAGCAUAUGUAGGAUGUAGCUUUGUUGUUUUUUCCAUUGCGACAAAAAUAACAGAGGAAAAUGUAGGGCUGCUAAGUGGAAAU
RNAcentral lists this long non-coding RNA (394 nucleotides) under Brassica napus (rape). RNAcentral's name for it is "long non-coding RNA (BNAP_LNC014836)". Lineage: Eukaryota; Viridiplantae; Streptophyta; Magnoliopsida; Brassicales; Brassicaceae. The record is from RNAcentral.